Molecule: transfer RNA, 72 nt
Filed under: Heterocephalus glaber (naked mole-rat)
Lineage: Eukaryota; Metazoa; Chordata; Mammalia; Rodentia; Bathyergidae
Rfam family: tRNA
About the family: Transfer RNA (tRNA) molecules are approximately 80 nucleotides in length. Their secondary structure includes four short double-helical elements and three loops (D, anti-codon, and T loops).
Source: Rfam by way of RNAcentral
GAGGGUGUAGCACAGUGGUAGAGCACUUGCUUAGCAUGCAUAGCGUCCUAGGUUUGAUUCCCAGCAUCCAUU